GAUGAACGCUGGCGGCGUGCCUAAUACAUGCAAGUCGAGCGAAUGGAUUAAGAGCUUGCUCUUAUGAAGUUAGCGGCGGACGGGUGAGUAACACGUGGGUAACCUGCCCAUAAGACUGGGAUAACUCCGGGAAACCGGGGCUAAUACCGGAUAACAUUUUGAACCGCAUGGUUCGAAAUUGAAAGGCGGCUUCGGCUGUCACUUAUGGAUGGACCCGCGUCGCAUUAGCUAGUUGGUGAGGUAACGGCUCACCAAGGCAACGAUGCGUAGCCGACCUGAGAGGUUGAUCGGCCACACUGGGACUGGGACACGGCCCAGACUCCUACGGGAGGCAGCAGUAGGGAAUCUUCCGCAAUGGACGAAAGUCUGACGGAGCAACGCCGCGUGAGUGAUGAAGGCUUUCGGGUCGUAAAACUCUGUUGUUAGGGAAGAACAAGUGCUAGUUGAAUAAGCUGGCACCUUGACGGUACCUAACCAGAAAGCCAUGGCUAACUACGUGCCAGCCGCCGCGGUAA
This 515-nucleotide ribosomal RNA is filed under the name uncultured bacterium. RNAcentral's name for it is "partial 16S ribosomal RNA". It matches the Rfam family "Bacterial small subunit ribosomal RNA", at positions 28 to 523 of the family's 1533-position model. The record is from RNAcentral.